CAAUAGCGUAUAUUAAAGUUGUUGCAGUUAAAAAGCUCGUAGUUGGAUUUGUGGCGUACGGUGUGUUCCGGGCACUUGUUGUCUGAGUAACCUGCUGUUGCCAUCCUUGGGUGGAACCUGUGUGGCAUUAGGUUGUCGUGCAGGGGAUGCCCAUCAUUUACUGUGAAAAAAUUAGAGUGUUCAAAGCAGGCUUAUGCCGUUGAAUAUAUUAGCAUGGAAUAAUGAGAUAGGACUUUUUUGCUAUUUUGUUGGUUUGCGCAAGAAGGUAAUGAUUAAUAGGGACAGCUGGGGGUAUUCGUAUUCCAUUGUCAGAGGUGAAAUUCUUGGAUUUUUGGAAGACGAACUACUGCGAAAGCAUUUACCAAGGAUGUUUUCAUUAA
This 380-nucleotide ribosomal RNA is filed under the name uncultured eukaryote. Its description in RNAcentral is "partial 18S ribosomal RNA". It matches the Rfam family "Eukaryotic small subunit ribosomal RNA", at positions 592 to 976 of the family's 1831-position model. The record is from RNAcentral.